This 459-nucleotide ribosomal RNA is filed under the name uncultured bacterium. Its description in RNAcentral is "bacterial SSU rRNA". It matches the Rfam family "Bacterial small subunit ribosomal RNA", at positions 28 to 408 of the family's 1533-position model. The record is from RNAcentral.
GACGAACGCUUGCGGCGUGCCUAAGAAAUGCAAGUCGAGCGGGAGCAGCAAUGCUCUAGCGGCGAACGGUCGCGUAACACGUAAGCAACCUGCCCGAAAGACCGGGACAACACUCCGAAAGGGGUGCUAAUACCGGAUGUGCCCACUUCCUUGCAUGGGGAGGUGAGUAAAACGCGCAUUAACUUCGCCCUAACCAAGCUGCUUUGCUGAACCUUUCUAAAGGAGGUUUGGUGGAGGUCGUUGGUUAGAGUGAAGGAGAUGUGGCGGCUUUUGGAGGGGCUUGCGGCCUAUCAGAUAGUUGGUGGGGUAACGGCCUACCAAGUCAUCGACGGGUAGCUGGUCUGAGAGGAUGGUCAGCCGGACUGGGACUGAGAUACGGCCCAGACUCCGUACGGGGGCAGCAAUUAGGAAUCUUGUACAAGUGGGGGCAACCCUGAUACAGCGACGCCGCGUGAGGGA